AAGGGGUCAAAUAUAAUUACUCUAUGGGAAAUUGGAAGAUUGAUUAUGGAAAACUCAAAUUCAAAAUUAUAAAAGUUUUAUUUAGUCUCCAUAUUUAAUCUCGUUACAUUUCUAGUGAAAGAUUGGCCUAAAAACCUACUGAAGUGUUUUUCCUUGUUUAGUGAAGCGCAAAGCCAUUCUUACCAAACCUAAUUUAGCAUCAAUGGACAUUAAGAAAAAGCAACGUCCAUCGAAACACAUUAUAAUAUUUCACAUCACUUAAGUAUAAGAGAAGUUUAAUACUAUAAAAAAUGUGACCCACACUUUAAUUGGUAAGAGACGUUUUAAGAUGUAUAGGUGUCUUGAAAACAAAUUCAAGAGAACUUACUCAAAGUGAAUAAUUCUUUAUUAGUUGGAGAAAAUUCGAUAAUUUCAUGCUAACCUGAGAAAGAGGAGUUUUAAUCUUUAGAGGAGAGCGCCAUAACAAUUUGUCCCCCAUGUUGUCUCCCCUUCCAAAAUAUAUGUGAAAAGUGAAUCUUCUUCGUAGGAGCAAUUUGGUAUUUUUUCUAUUUUACAUAUAACCCUAUCUUUUAAAAAUACUAACAAUAUACCCAACAAGUUAUGUUAUAUAUAAAUAGACUCUGAUGAGAUAGCAAAAGACGAAAAUAACCUAGAUAGAAAGAUAAUUAAGUCGGUAAUACUCAACUUCAACCUCAAUCUUGACUUAGUUUGCAUAAAUUGACUCCAAUUUACUUUACAUGGGGAGAGAGAAACACAGAGAGAAUCUCAUUUUGCUUUAGAAUUUAAAUGGAAGCAUAUCUGUCAAGGAAAUUUGGCUUUUCAAGUCGGUGCCCAUGAGCUAGCAGCAUUCAAUUUAGGUUUCGGCUUUAUGAUUGUAAUAGGCAUAGGCCACUUUCAAAAAUAAGCAAAUGAGAGACGCAUAAUUAAGCGCAGCAAACACAAUUGGAGAAGAAGAUAUACUGGAAUAUUCCUGAAUUUUUCUUUUUGUUUUGCUUGAAUAUUCCCAACCAGCUCUAUAAAAUCACCUUAAUUUUGUUAUGAACUAAUAUAUUUCAUAUUGUUUGAGAAAGAGUAUUAAAAGGGUUAGGGUUAGGGUUAGGAUUAUUCAACUGUCAAUAUAAAUUCAAUUAAUAAGUAGAGGUGGCUUUAAGUAUAGAUAAAUAAGGUGGUCGCCUAAGGUCCUAUAUUUUUUCAAGGUCUCAUUUCUUUUGAGUAUUUUCUUAAUAAUUCUCU
Molecule: long non-coding RNA, 1233 nt
Filed under: Citrus x clementina
Lineage: Eukaryota; Viridiplantae; Streptophyta; Magnoliopsida; Sapindales; Rutaceae
Description: Citrus clementina (C. clementina) long non-coding RNA (CCLE_LNC000190)
Source: RNAcentral